CUACGGUGAUGGUCUUGGUGGGGGGCCCGGUUCUUGAAUUUCCAAGAACUCUAGGUGGGUAUCCGAAACCUCCUUUUUUCUGGAUCAUCAUGUUCUUUUGUUCAAUUAGCAAGACUUUUUGGAUAACUUCCGAUAGUGAUUGCAAAUCGAACAGCUUGACCUCGGCUUGCAACUCUUCUUUAAGCCCAUUCAAGAAAAUACCCUUGACAAAUUCUUGAUCCAAGGUCCUUAGUGCUCCAACAUACUUCUCAAACUCUUCCACAUACUCCUCCACGGUCCCCGUUUGCUUGAGUGCCAAUAAUUGCUCAAAUGGGUUUUGAAUCAUUGAUGGUUGGAACCUUCUAACUACCGCAAUUUUGAAUGCCUCCCACUUUGGAUUAGGAUUGCAUUUUUCCCACCAAUGGUACCAACUCAGAGCCUUGCCUUCCAAAGCCAUGAUGGUAGCUUGCAUCUUCUCCUCCUCGGUUACAUCCUUCAGCACAAAAUAUCUUUCCAACCGAUGAGUCCAUCCGAACGCAUCUUCACUAGAAAAAAUGGGGAUUUCUAAUUUGCGCCAUUUCUCCCUACGGUUAGUGUCUUCACUUCUUCCCCCACUGCU
This 598-nucleotide long non-coding RNA is filed under the name Lupinus mutabilis. RNAcentral's name for it is "partial ncRNA". The record is from RNAcentral. Lineage: Eukaryota; Viridiplantae; Streptophyta; Magnoliopsida; Fabales; Fabaceae.